This 505-nucleotide ribosomal RNA is filed under the name uncultured bacterium. RNAcentral's name for it is "partial 16S ribosomal RNA". It matches the Rfam family "Bacterial small subunit ribosomal RNA", at positions 28 to 507 of the family's 1533-position model. The record is from RNAcentral.
GACGAACGCUGGCGGCGUGCCUAAUACAUGCAAGUAGAACGCACAGUUUAUACCGUAGCUUGCUACACCAUAGACUGUGAGUUGCGAACGGGUUAGUAACGCGUAGGUAACCUGCCUGGUAGCGGGGGAUAACUAUUGGAAACGCUAGCUAAUACCGCAUAAUAUUUAUUAUUGCAUGAUAAUUGAUUGAAAGAUGCUAUUGCAUCACUACCAGAUGGACCUGCGUUGUAUUAGCUAGUAGGUGAGGUAACGGCUCACCUAGGCGACGAUACAUAGCCGACCUGAGAGGGUGAUCGGCCACACUGGGACUGAGACACGGCCCAGACUCCUACGGGAGGCAGCAGUAGGGAAUCUUCGGCAAUGGACGAAAGUCUGACCGAGCAACGCCGCGUGAGUGAAGAAGGGUUUCGGAUCGUAAAGCUCUGUUGUAAGAGAAGAACGGGUGUGAGAGUGGAAAGUUCACAAUGUGACGGUAUCUUACCAGAAAGGGACGGCUAACUACGUG